GAUGAACGCUAGCUACAGGCUUAACACAUGCAAGUCGAGGGGAAACGACAUCGAAAGCUUGCUUUUGCUGGGCGUCGACCGGCGCACGGGAGAGUAACGAGUAUCCCAUCAGCCCAUCACAUGGGGAUAACCUUGCGAAAGUAAGCCUAAUACCCAAUGUUAUCCCUAGAAGGCAUCGGAAAGAGUUUAAAGAUUUAUCGGUGAUGGAUGGGGAUGAGUCUGAUUAGCUUGUUGGCGGGGUAACUGCCUACCAAGGGAACGAUCAGUAGGGGUUUGGAGGGGAAGGUCCCCCACAGGGGAACUGGGACACUUGCCAAACAGCUACGGGCGGCAGCAGUACGGGAUACUGGACUAUGGGCGAGUGCCUGAUCCAGCCAAGUAGCAUGCAGGAACACGGCCUGAGGGAUGGUAAACUGCUGUUAGAAGGGAACAAAGGGAUGGCCGUGACUCUGUGUGUCGGUACCUGAUGAAGAAGCACCGGCUAAUUCCGUG
RNAcentral lists this ribosomal RNA (492 nucleotides) under uncultured bacterium. RNAcentral's name for it is "partial 16S ribosomal RNA". It matches the Rfam family "Bacterial small subunit ribosomal RNA", at positions 28 to 507 of the family's 1533-position model. The record is from RNAcentral.